AGCUUUGAAGAAUCCUGCGCUUAGCCUGGGCUGGGAAAGAUGAGAUUCCCGGGCAGUUUUUCCAACGUCCGACUCACUCCUCAGGCUGCUCGGGGGUCUCCCCGUUGCAAUCUGCGCCUUGCGCAGGGAAAAAAGAAUGGAAAGUUGCUGGUCUUCGAAAGGGGCGGACUUCGUCGCCACUUUCAGCGGCUCGUCGCCUGCUGAAUCCACAGCAGGUCAGGGCUGUGAUUUAUGUGGCUCAAAGUGAUGACGGCGCCCGUUUUUUUUUUUUUUUUUUUUGAAAUGCUGAAGACAGGUUCCGGGAGGUUUAACUAGGGUGGUAUUUUUAAGCGCCAGGCUCAUUAGGCGCGAGGAGCUGCAGAGCCUCGAAGGGCCGCACGGCCGUGGGCCGCUGGCCACGCAGCAGCAGGGUCUUCGGGCCGUGGUGCGCCGCUGGGUGACUCCACUUCCUUAGAGGAUCGAACCCACAGAGGAAUGUGUCCAGCUUAGAAGCUUCGGCCCCCUGGUUCCAGAAUUCUGUUGGGUGGUUUGUUACCUCUAGCACGCUCCAUGCCCUUCUUGCCCCUUUCCUUUCAGACAAAACUUGCAGCACAAAGAAUGAAUUCUUUUGGGUUUCGCAAUCCGUUUCUUCCCUGGGCGUCUUAAAAUGCAGCCUCGUCUCGGAAUGGCAUACAGUAAAUCCCCUAAAUGUUAGUGUGUCUGGAUCAGUUUGAGUAUCGGAAACGCUGAAUUUGUGAAGAAAAGUUCUGGGUGGGAGCUUGUGCUUUGCCACUGGCUAGGAAACUUUGGGCAACUUACCUAAACCUCUCUGAGCCUUAGUUUCUUGUAAAAUGGGUAUAAUUACACCUGCCUCAUGAUGGUAACACUACUAACGAUUGAAGGCUGCCUGGGACUCUGCUAGGCGCUUUAUAAAAUGGAUUAUCUCAUUGAAUCCUUCCUUAUGUGCCCCCCAUGAGGUAGGUACUGUUAUUUUCUCAGUUUACAGUUGAGGAACCUGAGGAUUAGCGACAUUGUUUGCCUCCAACCACCCAAUGGCAAGUGGUAAAGCUAGCAGCUGAGAUUUGUCUGAUUAUUAAAAACCGAGUGUCUUAAUCACUGUGCCAGAAUAACAAAAGCAAAUGUUGACAUGGGCCAGGCCUGAACUUUAAAGAAGUGGAGCGUCGGGACAAGAUGAUUUAUUGGUUUUCAAGCAUGCAUGGAACAUUAUAAAACAUCAAAUACUAAGUAACAGGCCAGGCGCGGUGGCUCACGCCUGUAAUCCCAGCACUUUGGGAGGCCGAGGUGGGCGGAUCACAAGGUCAAGGAGAUCUAGACCAUCCUGGCUAACAGAGUGACACCCCG
This 1341-nucleotide long non-coding RNA is filed under the name Homo sapiens (human). RNAcentral describes it as "non-protein coding lnc-STX3-1:3". The record is from RNAcentral. Lineage: Eukaryota; Metazoa; Chordata; Mammalia; Primates; Hominidae.